CAUCUGUUCAUUGCUAUUCUAAACACAGGACAGAGCACUGCAUAUUUUUGUGUGAGAGAAUUAAUCAGCGACGUUUGUCCUUAACAAGACUUAAUUAAGUAGCCUUUCGAUGGAUAUAUCACCAUUCUUCAAAGACCACAUGGAGUCGUUAACGGCAAACAAACAAACAGCCUUUUUCAAGGCUUCCAGCCUAUUUACAGGCAUCCCACCAGCCUUUUCCCCUUUCCCCUUUUUCUCGGGACUCCUCCCAACGGAUACAAGGUGAACAUGGCCCUUUCUCGUGCCCGGGAUGAAGUGCACUACCUGAAAAGGAAGGUGAGCGAACUCAGUGCUCACACUGAAACUGGGAGGUACAGUUUGACCAACCUGUUAAAAGGCAAAGAUCUUGCCUAUGAGCAGACAAGAACAGAAAUAAGUUUUCAGACCUCGUCAGGGAGAACAAGGGUUUGUCUCUGAAGCUCCACAGAGACCACCGAACAACUCGUUGUCAAAAAUGCUGAACCCACGGUCCAGCAGCAGGCCAACAACCAACGGUUGAAAGCAGAACACAAACUGCUAAAGAGCAAGACAGAGGCUCUGGCUGAGGUUAUCGGGGAAAAGUUUGUUUCUGAAGCUCUUUGAGUACGGCAAACAACUCUUCGUCAAAAGUGCUGAACUCACAGUCAACAAAGGGACCUGGCAGCAGAAGUUGGAGGAAAAGACAUUCAAGGAACUGUAUUACCAACAACAGUCCAGUAAGUAACAGGGUUACUCUCCACCAAUAUUUCUCUUCAAGAGGAGCUGCACAAGCAGCAGGCCAACAACCACCAGUUGGUAGAAGAAAACAAACUGCUAAAGAUCAAGACAGAGGCUCUGGAUGAGACUAUCAGGGAGAACGAGGGUUUAUCUCUGAAGCUCACCGAGACCACAAAACAACUUUCUGUCAAAAGUGCUGAACUCAGGGUGAACAACGAGACCUGGCAGCAGUUGGAAGCAGAAAACAAACUGCUGAAGACCCAGAGGGAUUCUCUGGCUGCUUUAAAAAAGAGCCAAGAGGAGACCCACCACGAGAUGGUCACUAGCACUGAGUUGUGCCUGAUCUCUAAGAUCCAACAAACGGAGGAUACCAUUCCCAAAGAACAUCAGAUCCUUAUCACCAGGAUCCAAGAAUUAGAGGACGACAAAACAGUCCUUGAAAACAUCUGCCUGUACUUAAAAAAACGGACCGGCAGACGGAGAUGGACAAAAUGAGGCGCAAGAUGCAGGACAAGGAGACAAAGAAAUAGGAGAGAGAAAAGAAGAAAAAGGAGACCAUCCAGGACGUCAACAUCAACGUGCCUGAGACUGGACACAAAAAAGGCAAGAAGAAAAAGGAGACCAUCCAGGACGUCAACAUCAACGUGCCUGAGACUGGACACCUGUAAGAACACCUUCCUUCACCUCCCACUCCCUCCUACCUCAUCCUUCUCAAAUAACAAAUAAAGGAAAUGUUUACCCCAA
Gasterosteus aculeatus aculeatus (three-spined stickleback) is the source of this 1479-nucleotide long non-coding RNA. Lineage: Eukaryota; Metazoa; Chordata; Actinopteri; Perciformes; Gasterosteidae. The record is from Ensembl.